This is a regulatory RNA element of Clostridium sp. CAG:448, 183 nucleotides long. It matches the Rfam family "Lysine riboswitch aptamer". From Rfam's summary of the family: Riboswitches are metabolite binding domains within certain messenger RNAs that serve as precision sensors for their corresponding targets. Allosteric rearrangement of mRNA structure is mediated by ligand binding, and this results in modulation of gene expression. The record is from Rfam. NCBI's taxonomy places the organism in Bacteria, Bacillati, Bacillota, Clostridia, Eubacteriales, Clostridiaceae.
GUGGAAGGUAGAGGCGCGGUGUUAAAGAGUAAUGCGAGCAAGGGGGAUCCGCCCCCGCGUGAAAGGGAACACUGCCGAGGGUACACGGUGCGGAUGCUGUCGUGUAUGCCGGUAUUGCAGAGAAGAUCUGCCGUACUGUCACUUUUCUCCUUUGACGGGAGAAAGUGGAGAGCUAUCACGAAG